AGCCAAGGCCCAAGCCAAGGAGAGCGUCUAGACCAAGACCAAGGUGAGCGUCUAGGACGUGAAGGUGAGCGUCUAGGACGUGAAGGAGGGAGGCUAUCCAUGGAGCUAGACCGUCUAGGCCCCCUUACAAGAUCAAUGGCCAAACAUGCUCAAACACAAGUAAAUGAAGCCACGGAUGGAAGAGAGAAGGCUUUGUAUAUGUUUGCAUAAAGGCCCAUUAGGGGUACUUAGUAGAUAGGAUAGUGUAGAAAGCACUUUUGAU
RNAcentral lists this long non-coding RNA (262 nucleotides) under Phaseolus vulgaris (common bean). RNAcentral's name for it is "long non-coding RNA (PVUL_LNC002118)". Lineage: Eukaryota; Viridiplantae; Streptophyta; Magnoliopsida; Fabales; Fabaceae. The record is from RNAcentral.